GACGAACGCUGGCGGCGCGCUUAACACAUGCAAGUCGAACGGAAAGGCCUGCUUUCCCUUGUGGAUUGCGGGUACUCGAGUGGCGAACGGGUGGGUAACACGUGAGUGAUCUGCCCCCAACUUGGGUAUAAGCCUGGGAAACUGGGUCUAAUUCCAGAUAGGACUGCAGGGUGGUGCCUGUGGUGGAAAACGAUGUUCUAGUGGUUGGGGAUGAGCUCGCGGCCUAUCAGCUUGUUGGUGGGGUAAUGGCCUACCAAGGCGGCGACGGGUAGCCGGCCUGGGAGGGUGGACGGGCACAUUGGGACUGGGAUACGGCCCAGACUCCUACGGGAGGCAGCAGUGGGGGAUAUUGCACAAUGGGCGGAAGCCGGAUGCAGCGACGCCGCGUGGGGGAUGACGGCCUUCGGGUUGUAAACUCCUUUCGACCGCGAGGAAGCCACCUGGUUGGAAGGGUGGUGACGGUAGUGGUAGAAGAAGCCCCGGCUAACUACUG
This 493-nucleotide ribosomal RNA is filed under the name uncultured bacterium. RNAcentral's name for it is "partial 16S ribosomal RNA". It matches the Rfam family "Bacterial small subunit ribosomal RNA", at positions 28 to 506 of the family's 1533-position model. The record is from RNAcentral.